UACGUAGGUGGCAAGCGUUAUCCGGAUUUAUUGGGCGUAAAGCGAGCGCAGGCGGUCUUUUAAGUCUGAUGUGAAAGCCUUCGGCUUAACCGGAGUAGUGCAUUGGAAACUGGGAGACUUGAGUGCAGAAGGGGAGAGUGGAACUCCAUGUGUAGCGGUGAAAUGCGUAGAUAUAUGGAAGAACACCAGUGGCGAAAGCGGCUCUCUGGUCUGUAACUGACGCUGAGGUUCGAAAGCGUGGGUAGCAAACAGG
Molecule: ribosomal RNA, 253 nt
Filed under: uncultured bacterium
Lineage: Bacteria
Description: partial 16S ribosomal RNA
Rfam family: Bacterial small subunit ribosomal RNA
Source: RNAcentral